AGACGCUAACUACGAGAAGCGAGUCCCGGGGAUGACAUAUCUUUAUGCUAGCAAUUAUCUGCUAGCUAGCUGAUCGAAAAAGAAAACAUGCAGUUGUCAAAUGGACAGUUGUUAGGGGGACAAAUAACCCGGAGCUCGUUAACUAUGGAUUAUGAGUGAGUGUCAGGCAGAGUGAGGCAGUGAACAUCAGCCAAUUUAGAUUACAACGGAAGCCCCUACCAGCUGUUGAGACAUACUUAUCCUGAGAUCUGAAAAACUGACCAAUAAUUUGAUUUCGACAGGAUGCAGUUAGGUAAGCUGUCCAGAUA
Molecule: long non-coding RNA, 308 nt
Organism: Monopterus albus (swamp eel)
Lineage: Eukaryota; Metazoa; Chordata; Actinopteri; Synbranchiformes; Synbranchidae
Exons: 3
Source: RefSeq, a predicted model, not a curated record